UUGCCAAUGAGGAAAUCAAUCAUACACCAAUUACCAUCUUUCGGGACUGAAUGGCCCAUGGGCCUUGCUGUUAAUUCUGCAAUUCUGAGGCAA
This is a small nucleolar RNA of Mercurialis annua (annual mercury), 93 nucleotides long. RefSeq annotates it as small nucleolar RNA SNORD96 family. The record is from RefSeq and is a predicted model, not a curated record. NCBI's taxonomy places the organism in Eukaryota, Viridiplantae, Streptophyta, Magnoliopsida, Malpighiales, Euphorbiaceae. The transcript has a single exon.